AGCGAACGCUGGCGGCAGGCCUAACACAUGCAAGUCGAACGAACUCUUCGGAGUUAGUGGCGGACGGGUGAGUAACACGUGGGAACGUGCCCUUUGGUACGGAAUAACUCAGGGAAACUUGAGCUAAUACCGUAUGUGCCCUUCGGGGGAAAGAUUUAUCGCCAUUGGAGCGGCCCGCGUCUGAUUAGCUAGUUGGUGAGGUAAAGGCUCACCAAGGCUACGAUCAGUAGCUGGUCUGAGAGGAUGAUCAGCCACAUUGGGACUGAGACACGGCCCAAACUCCUAUGGGAGGCAGCUGUGGGGAAUCUUGCGCAAUGGGCGAAAGCCUGACGCAGCCAUGCCGCGUGAAUGAUGAAGGUCUUAGGAUUGUAAAAUUCUUUCACCGGGGACGAUAAUGACGGUACCCGGAGAAGAAGCCCCGGCUAACUUCGUG
Molecule: ribosomal RNA, 433 nt
Filed under: uncultured bacterium
Lineage: Bacteria
Description: partial 16S ribosomal RNA
Rfam family: Bacterial small subunit ribosomal RNA
Source: RNAcentral